RNAcentral lists this ribosomal RNA (1667 nucleotides) under metagenome. Its description in RNAcentral is "bacterial LSU rRNA". It matches the Rfam family "Bacterial large subunit ribosomal RNA", at positions 1231 to 2925 of the family's 2925-position model. The record is from RNAcentral.
GUGGAGCAUUGCAUACGCGAGGAAGCAGUACCGUAAGGAGCUGUGGAGUGUAUGGAAGAGAGAAUGCCGGAAUGAGUAGCGAGAUGGAGGUGAGAAUCCUCCAGGCCGAAUAUCCAAGGUUUCCAGAGUAAAGCUGAUCUGCUCUGGGUAAGUCGGGACCUAAGGCGAGGCCGAGAGGCGUAGCCGAUGGACAACAGGUUGAGAUUCCUGUACUGCUGUAUAUCAGAACUGUGGGGACACAGAGGGAAAGCACAGGCGCGGAAUGGAAAGCCGCGUGCAAGCGAGGUACCGGACUGGUAGGAAAAACCGCCAGCCAACGGGAAGACGUGAUGCGGACCGAAAUUUAGUAGGGAAGUGUGUGAGCCAGCUGUCAAGAAAAGCCGCUAUUGUGUAUACAGUACCCGUACCGUAAACCGACACAGGUGGAUGAGGAGAGAAUCCUAAGGCCGGCGGAAGAAGUAUUGUCAAGGAACUCGGCAAAAUGACCCUGUAACUUCGGGAGAAAGGGUGCCUCGAAGGAGGCCGCAGAGGAUUGGCCCAAGCAACUGUUUAGCAAAAACACAGGUCUAUGCGAAACCGAAAGGUGAGGUAUAUGGGCUGACGCCUGCCCGGUGCUGGAAGGUUAAGGGGAGAUGUUAGAGCAAUCGAAGCAUCGAACUUAAGCCCCAGUAAACGGCGGCCGUAACAAUAACGGUCCUAAGGUAGCGAAAUUCCUUGUCGGGUAAGUUCCGACCCGCACGAAAGGCGUAAUGAUUUGGGCGCUGUCUCGACAAUACAUCCGGUGAAAUUGAAGUACCAGUGAAGAUGCUGGUUACCCGCGCCAGGACGAAAAGACCCCAUGGAGCUUUACUCCAGCUUGAUACUGGGAUUCGGUAUUGCAUGUACAGGAUAGGUGGGAGGCUAAGAAGCAUGGACGCCAGUCUAUGUGGAGCCGCUGUUGGGAUACCACCCUUGCGGUAUUGGAUUUCUAACCAGCCGCCGUGAAACCGGCGGUGGGACAAUGUCAGGCGGGGAGUUUGACUGGGGCGGUCGCCUCCGAAAGGGUAUCGGAGGCGCCCAAAGGUUCCCUCAGAAUGGUUGGAAACCAUUCGAAGAGUGCAAAGGCAGAAGGGAGCUUGACUGUGACACCGACGGGUGGAGCAGGUACGAAAGUAGGGCUUAGUGAUCCGGUGGUAUUAAGUGGGAAUGCCAUCGCUCAACGGAUAAAAGCUACCCUGGGAUAACAGGCUUAUCACUCCCAAGAGUUCACAUCGACGGAGUGGUUUGGCACCUCGAUGUCGGCUCAUCGCAUCCUGGGGCUGUAGUAGGUCCCAAGGGUUGGGCUGUUCGCCCAUUAAAGCGGUACGCGAGCUGGGUUCAGAACGUCGUGAGACAGUUCGGUCCCUAUCCGGCGUGGGCGCAGGAUAUUUGAGAGGAGCUGUCCUUAGUACGAGAGGACCGGGAUGGACUGACCUCUGGUGCACCGGUUGUUCCGCCAGGAGCAUAGCCGGGUAGCCAAGUCGGGAAGGGAUAAACGCUGAAGGCAUCUAAGCGUGAAGCCCCCCUCAAGAUGAGAUAUCCCAUGCGAAAGCGAUAAGACCCCUUGAAGACGACGAGGUAGAUAGGUCAGAGGUGGAAGUGCAGUAAUGCAUGGAGCUGACUGAUUCUAAUAGGUCGAAGGCUUAACC